Molecule: ribosomal RNA, 456 nt
Filed under: uncultured Bacteroides sp.
Lineage: Bacteria; Pseudomonadati; Bacteroidota; Bacteroidia; Bacteroidales; Bacteroidaceae
Description: bacterial SSU rRNA
Rfam family: Bacterial small subunit ribosomal RNA
Source: RNAcentral
GGCCCACCUAGCCUACGAUGGAUAGGGGUUCUGAGAGGAAGGUCCCCCACAUUGGAACUGAGACACGGUCCAAACUCCUACGGGAGGCAGCAGUGAGGAAUAUUGGUCAAUGGGCGAGAGCCUGAACCAGCCAAGUAGCGUGAAGGAUGAAGGUCCUACGGAUUGUAAACUUCUUUUAUAAGGGAAUAAAACGCUCCACGUGUGGAGCCUUGUAUGUACCUUAUGAAUAAGCAUCGGCUAACUCCGUGCCAGCAGCCGCGGUAAUACGGAGGAUGCGAGCGUUAUCCGGAUUUAUUGGGUUUAAAGGGAGCGCAGACGGGAUGUUAAGUCAGCUGUGAAAGUUUGCGGCUCAACCGUAAAAUUGCAGUUGAUACUGGCGUUCUUGAGUGCAGUUGAGGUGUGCGGAAUUCGUGGUGUAGCGGUGAAAUGCUUAGAUAUCACGAAGAACUCCGAUUG